Molecule: ribosomal RNA, 507 nt
Filed under: uncultured bacterium
Lineage: Bacteria
Description: partial 16S ribosomal RNA
Rfam family: Bacterial small subunit ribosomal RNA
Source: RNAcentral
ACGAACGCUGGCGGCGUGCCUAAUACAUGCAAGUCGCACGCUUCUUUCCUCCCGAGUGCUUGCACUCAAUUGGAAAGAGGAGUGGCGGACGGGUGAGUAACACGUGGGUAACCUACCCAUCAGAGGGGGAUAACACUUGGAAACAGGUGCUAAUACCGCAUAACAGUUUAUGCCGCAUGGCAUAAGAGUGAAAGGCGCUUUCGGGUGUCAUUGAUGGAUGGACCCGCGGUGCAUUAGCUAGUUGGUGAGGUAACGGCUCACCAAGGCCACGAUGCAUAGCCGACCUGAGAGGGUGAUCGGCCACACUGGGACUGAGACACGGCCCAGACUCCUACGGGAGGCAGCAGUAGGGAAUCUUCGGCAAUGGACGAAAGUCUGACCGAGCAACGCCGCGUGAGUGAAGAAGGUUUUCGGAUCGUAAAACUCUGUUGUUAGAGAAGAACAAGGACGUUAGUAACUGAACGUCCCCUGACGGUAUCUAACCAGAAAGCCACGGCUAACUACGUG